GUAGCGCAAUCACUUGUCCUUUAAAUGGAGACCAGUAUGAAUGGCAAGACGAGGGCUAAACUGUCUCCUCUUUCAAGUCAAUGAAAUUGAUCUCCCCGUGCAGAAGCGGGGAUACGCACAUAAGACGAGAAGACCCUGUGGAGCUUUAGACACCAAGACAACUCACGUUAAGAACCCCUAAACAAAGGGCUAAACUUAGUGAAACCUUGAUCUGAUGUCUUUGGUUGGGGCGACCACGGGGAGAGAAAAAACCCCCACGUGGAACGGGAGCACUGCUUCCCCCACAACUAAGAGCAACAGCUCUAAGCAACAGAACAUCUGACCUAAAGAUCCGGCUCUCCUGCCGAUUGACGAACCGAGUUACCCCAGGGAUAACAGCGCAAUCCCCUUUUAGAGCUCAUAUCGACAAGGGGGUUUACGACCUCGAUGUUGGAUCAGGACAUCCUAAUGGUGCAGCCGCUAUUAAGGGUUCGUUUGUUCAA
RNAcentral lists this ribosomal RNA (482 nucleotides) under Platycephalus sp. 1 SS-2021. RNAcentral's name for it is "partial 16S ribosomal RNA". It matches the Rfam family "Bacterial large subunit ribosomal RNA", at positions 1956 to 2584 of the family's 2925-position model. Lineage: Eukaryota; Metazoa; Chordata; Actinopteri; Perciformes; Platycephalidae. The record is from RNAcentral.